Molecule: ribosomal RNA, 271 nt
Filed under: uncultured prokaryote
Description: partial 16S ribosomal RNA
Rfam family: Bacterial small subunit ribosomal RNA
Source: RNAcentral
UACGGAGGUGGCAAGCGUUGUUCGGAAUUACUGGGCGUAAAGGGCGCGUAGGCGGCAUGGCAAGUCAGAUGUGAAAGCCCCGGGCUUAACCUGGGAAUUGCAUCUGAAACUGUUGUGCUUGAGUUCUGGAGGGGGUAGUGGAAUUCCCAGUGUAGCGGUGAAAUGCGUAGAUAUUGGGAGGAACACCUGCGGCGAAGGCGGCUACCUGGACAGAUACUGACGCUGAGGCGCGAAAGCUAGGGGAGCAAACGGGAUUAGAUACCCCGGUAGU